RNAcentral lists this ribosomal RNA (492 nucleotides) under uncultured bacterium. RNAcentral describes it as "partial 16S ribosomal RNA". It matches the Rfam family "Bacterial small subunit ribosomal RNA", at positions 29 to 507 of the family's 1533-position model. The record is from RNAcentral.
AGUGAACGCUGGCGGUAGGCCUAACACAUGCAAGUCGAACGGCAGCACAGUAAGAGCUUGCUCUUACGGGUGGCGAGUGGCGGACGGGUGAGGAAUACAUCGGAAUCUACUUUUUCGUGGGGGAUAACGUAGGGAAACUUACGCUAAUACCGCAUACGACCUACGGGUGAAAGCAGGGGAUCUUCGGACCUUGCGCGAUUGAAUGAGCCGAUGUCGGAUUAGCUAGUUGGCGGGGUAAAGGCCCACCAAGGCGACGAUCCGUAGCUGGUCUGAGAGGAUGAUAAGCCACACUGGAACUGAGACACGGUCCAGACUCCUAAGGGAGGCAGCAGUGGGGAAUAUUAGACAAUGGGCGCAAGCCUGAUCCAGCCAUACCGCGUGGGUGAAGAAGGCCUUCGGGUUGUAAAGCCCUUUUGUUGGGAAAGAAAAGCAGCAGGUUAAUACCCCGCUGUUCUGACGGUACCCAAAGAAUAAGCACCGGCUAACUUCGUG